ACUUUCAACAACGGAUCUCUUGGUUCUGGCAUCGAUGAAGAACGCAGCGAAAUGCGAUAAGUAAUGUGAAUUGCAGAAUUCAGUGAAUCAUCGAAUCUUUGAACGCACAUUGCGCCCUCUGGUAUUCCGGGGGGCAUGCCUGUUCGAGCGUCAUUACAACCCUCAAGCUUU
This 171-nucleotide ribosomal RNA is filed under the name Phoma herbarum. Its description in RNAcentral is "5.8S ribosomal RNA". The stretch from base 1 to 153 matches the Rfam family "5.8S ribosomal RNA". From Rfam's summary of the family: 5.8S ribosomal RNA (5.8S rRNA) is a component of the large subunit of the eukaryotic ribosome. RNAcentral also lists the same sequence under 8 other names. The record is from RNAcentral. Lineage: Eukaryota; Fungi; Ascomycota; Dothideomycetes; Pleosporales; Didymellaceae.